RNAcentral lists this non-coding RNA (133 nucleotides) under uncultured Fusobacterium sp. RNAcentral describes it as "glmS glucosamine-6-phosphate activated ribozyme". It matches the Rfam family "glmS glucosamine-6-phosphate activated ribozyme aptamer". From Rfam's summary of the family: This entry contains a glucosamine-6-phosphate activated ribozyme that is found in the mRNA for GlmS. GlmS is an enzyme that uses fructose-6-phosphate and glutamine to generate glucosamine-6-phosphate. The record is from RNAcentral. Lineage: Bacteria; Fusobacteriati; Fusobacteriota; Fusobacteriia; Fusobacteriales; Fusobacteriaceae.
UAAAAGAAGCGCCAGAACUCUUUUUUUGAGUUGACGAGGAUUGAAAUUAUCGAAAUUUUCGGCGGAUAUUUCAAAGGUGGUUACAACCAUUAUUAACAAAAAUACAGAGUGAUCUGUAUAACAAAGAAAUAAU